This 553-nucleotide ribosomal RNA is filed under the name uncultured bacterium. Its description in RNAcentral is "partial 16S ribosomal RNA". It matches the Rfam family "Bacterial small subunit ribosomal RNA", at positions 356 to 900 of the family's 1533-position model. The record is from RNAcentral.
AGGGAAUCUUCCACAAUGGACGCAAGUCUGAUGGAGCAACGCCGCGUGAGUGAAGAAGGUUUUCGGACCGUAAAGCUCUGUUGUUGGUGAAGAAGGAUAGAGGUAGUAACUGGCCUUUAUUUGACGGUAAUCAACCAGAAAGUCACGGCUAACUACGUGCCAGCAGCCGCGGUAAUACGUAGGUGGCAAGCGUUGUCCGGAUUUAUUGGGCGUAAAGCGAGCGCAGGCGGAAGAAUAAGUCUGAUGUGAAAGCCCUCGGCUUAACCGAGGAAUUGCAUCGGAAACUGUUUUCUUGAGUGCAGAAGAGGAGAGUAGAACUCCAUGUGUAGCGGUGGAAUGCGUAGAUAUAUGGAAGAAUACCAGUGGCGAAGGCGGCUCUCUGGUCUGCAACUGACGCUGAGGCUCGAAAGCAUGGGUAGCGAACAGGAUUAGAUGCCCUGGUAGUCCAUGCCGUAAACGAUGAGUGCUAAGUGUUGGGAGGCUUCCGCCUCUCAGUGCUGCAGCUAACGCAUUAAGCACUCCGCCUGGGGGAGUACGACCGCAAGGUUGAAAC